CGUUUGCGCGGCCCGGGAGCCGGGGCGUGAUGGGGGAGAGGCUGCGGGGGUGAGGAAGGCCCGGGGUAACAGGUGCCUCACCUCGGCUGAUGGGAUUAACUCUAGGGCCGCAGAGAGAGGGAGCCCGGCAGCAAAAUCCCAGGAGAGGGAGAGAGAGGGAGCCUCUGGCGGCCAACGGAGGGCGAAAAUCACCGGCCCGAGGCGAGGCCGCCCCACCCCCUCGGCCGUGGGCGAGGGCCCUCAGGCCCGGGGCGAGGCCUGCCCUUCUAGGCCCUGUGUGCCUUUCUGCUCGGGCGUUGCUUCGCUGCUGGGGCCCCACAAGCUUUAUCAGCUAGUAAAUAAAUAUGGCUGGAUAUGAACCUCUGCUAGUCUCCACACAGAAUCUGUAUCUGGGAGCAAAACCUUUUCUCAAUUUCAAAACGUCUUUGUCUGACUUCUUACCUUAUUCGUGCAGAACAAACAGUCAAACAACUAUUUCCAUAUGAAUCCAGAUGCUGUUUUGAUUCUGACUCCACCUGAGGAUAGCGGAUUAGAUGGAGACACUGCUUCCAGUCUGACGGAAUGAUUUCAGCUGGUCCAGCCUAACUCAAAUUCAUCUUUACUCUGACGAAUUAGAUACGUCAGUUCUCUGGUACUUCUGCCAUGAAGUUAGUCUCUUGAACUUGAGCCAGAGAACCACUCCAAUUCCUGUUUGAACUCUGGAAUUCCCAUGUCAUUGGGCCUUACCCUGCCCUCCUUUGAAAUUCUCUCUCGUCUUUCUCUCUCUCUCUGUCCUUCAUCAUUCUCACCAGACAAGUAGGAGCUGUAUACCGAGUUAACUUUGAACAUCUAUAAAUGGCAAAUACAUGUUCAUUUCACUUGUUUCACCUUAGCCUAAGGAAUCAAGUUGAAUUAGCUUCUUCACUUAAAAAGCAAAUUAGCAAUACAUUUUAUUGGUCUCAUAAAAAUCAAGCAGCUUGAUUAUUAGUCUGAAACUUUAUAUUUGGUUUCAUUAAAUGUUUGACAAAUUUUAAAAUAUUUGUUGUAAACCAG
RNAcentral lists this long non-coding RNA (1032 nucleotides) under Equus asinus (donkey). Its description in RNAcentral is "lncRNA (ENSEASG00005034319.1)". The record is from RNAcentral. Lineage: Eukaryota; Metazoa; Chordata; Mammalia; Perissodactyla; Equidae.